Molecule: transfer RNA, 73 nt
Filed under: Mycobacterium sp.
Lineage: Bacteria; Bacillati; Actinomycetota; Actinomycetes; Mycobacteriales; Mycobacteriaceae
Also listed under: 1 other name
Description: tRNA-Ile
Rfam family: tRNA
About the family: Transfer RNA (tRNA) molecules are approximately 80 nucleotides in length. Their secondary structure includes four short double-helical elements and three loops (D, anti-codon, and T loops).
Source: RNAcentral
GCUCCGGUAGCUCAGUGGUGAGAGCAGGACUCUUAUAAGGUUCAGGGCGAGGGUUCAAUUCCCUCUCGGGGCA